GCUGGGCAUGGUGGCACAAGCCUGUAAUCCCAGCAACUUGGGAGGCUGAGGCAGGAGGAUCACAAGUUCAAGGCCAGCCUCAGCAACUUAGGCCCUAAGUAAUUUAGUGAAAAUUUGUCUCAA
This 123-nucleotide small RNA is filed under the name Marmota monax (woodchuck). Lineage: Eukaryota; Metazoa; Chordata; Mammalia; Rodentia; Sciuridae. The record is from RNAcentral.